UAGUUUGUUCUGACCAAGUGUCCCUAGCACUUCAGAUAGAUGAACUACGUGUUCCUCCAGGCUCUUGGAGUACAUUAGGAUGUCAUCAAUGAAUACGAUGACAUACAAAUAUUUUUGAAGCUUUUAUCUUACAAUUUUUAUACACACAGUGAGCUUCUAAUAAUCCCCUAAAGGGAGUCUCUACAGCUAAUAUUUCUUUUAAAGGUUUAGGCCU
Molecule: long non-coding RNA, 214 nt
Filed under: Carica papaya (papaya)
Lineage: Eukaryota; Viridiplantae; Streptophyta; Magnoliopsida; Brassicales; Caricaceae
Description: long non-coding RNA (CPAP_LNC006148)
Source: RNAcentral